AACGAACGCUGGCGGCAUGCCUAACACAUGCAAGUCGAACGAGACCUUCGGGUCUAGUGGCGCACGGGUGCGUAACGCGUGGGAACCUGCCCUUAGGUUCGGAAUAACUCCCCGAAAGGGGUGCUAAUACCGGAUAAUGUCUUCGGACCAAAGAUUUAUCGACUUUGGAUGGGCCCGCGUUGGAUUAGCUAGUUGGUAGGGUAAAAGCCUACCAAGGCGACGAUCCAUAGCUGGUCUGAGAGGAUGAUCAGCCACACUGGGACUGAGACACGGCCCAGACUCCUACGGGAGGCAGGAGUGGGGAAUAUUGGAAAAUGGGCGAAAGCCUGAUCCAGCAAUGCCGCGUGAGUGAUGAAGGCCUUAGGGUUGUAAAGCUCUUUUACCCGGGAUGAUAAUGACAGUACCGGGAGAAUAAGCUCCGGCUAACUCCGUG
RNAcentral lists this ribosomal RNA (433 nucleotides) under uncultured bacterium. Its description in RNAcentral is "partial 16S ribosomal RNA". It matches the Rfam family "Bacterial small subunit ribosomal RNA", at positions 29 to 507 of the family's 1533-position model. The record is from RNAcentral.